GUAAGGCAUAGGUAACCUACCUUCCGGACUGGGAUAUGCGGUUGAAAAGCCGUGCAAUACUAGACAUCGUCUCUGCGAGGCAUCUCGUGGUUUCGAAAUGGUCCGCCGCCGGAAGAGGGGCUUAUGUGCUACCAGCUUGUUGGUGAGGUAAUGGCUCACCAAGGCUACGACGGCUAGGGGGUGUGAGAGCACGACCCCCGUCACUGGCACUGAGACACUGGCCAGACUCCUACGGGAGGCUGCAGUCGAGAAUCUUCGGCAAUGGGGGCAACCCUGACCGAGCGACGCCGCGUGGUGGAUGAAGGCCUUCGGGUUGUAAACACCUGUUGGGGGGGAACAAAUUUGAGUGAACCCCUGAGGAAGCACGGGCUAAGUUCGUGCCAGCAGCCGCGGUAAGACGAACCGUGCAAACGUUACUCGGAAUCACUGAGCUUAAAGAGCACGUAGGCGGCAACAUAAGUCAGAGGUGAAAUCCCAUCGGCUCAACCGUGGAACAGCCUCUGAUACUGUGUUGCUUGAGGGGGAACGGGGCAUUCGGAACUUCCGGUGGAGCGGUGAAAUGUGUUGAUAUCGGAAGGAACGCCGGUGGCGAAAGCGGAAUGCUGGGUCUCUUCUGACGCUGAGGUG
This 627-nucleotide ribosomal RNA is filed under the name uncultured bacterium. RNAcentral's name for it is "bacterial SSU rRNA". It matches the Rfam family "Bacterial small subunit ribosomal RNA", at positions 110 to 753 of the family's 1533-position model. The record is from RNAcentral.